CCGAUACCAUGAUGAUCACAUAGUUCAGCCGAUGAAUAGUGACGAGCACUAUUAAUAGUCUUUCGCUCCUAUCUGAUGUAUCUG
Sorex fumeus (smoky shrew) is the source of this 84-nucleotide small nucleolar RNA. RefSeq annotates it as small nucleolar RNA snR60/Z15/Z230/Z193/J17. The record is from RefSeq and is a predicted model, not a curated record. The transcript has a single exon. Lineage: Eukaryota; Metazoa; Chordata; Mammalia; Eulipotyphla; Soricidae.